Molecule: unclassified non-coding RNA, 311 nt
Filed under: uncultured fungus
Lineage: Eukaryota; Fungi
Description: partial contains small subunit ribosomal RNA, internal transcribed spacer 1, and 5.8S ribosomal RNA
Rfam family: Eukaryotic small subunit ribosomal RNA (bases 1-73)
Source: RNAcentral
GCAAACUUGGUCAUUUAGAGGAAGUAAAAGUCGUAACAAGGUUUCCGUAGGUGAACCUGCGGAAGGAUCAUUAUUAAGUAUGGCCUCCUGCUAGGGUGUUCUUGCCGCUAUCGCGGAUCCACUUUAUAACGGGGGCCAUACUUAAGACCGUCGUGAGACUCUGUGCAUUCAUUGGAAACGUUCUCUUUUAAUAGGAGAACGGUUCCCUUUUUUCCGUUAGACACUUUACCUUUGUCUGAUCUUUAACAAAAUUUAUAAAUACAACUUUCAACAACGGAUCUCUUGGCUCUCGCAUCGAUGAAGAACGCAGC